This 465-nucleotide ribosomal RNA is filed under the name uncultured Klebsiella sp. Its description in RNAcentral is "bacterial SSU rRNA". It matches the Rfam family "Bacterial small subunit ribosomal RNA", at positions 338 to 795 of the family's 1533-position model. Lineage: Bacteria; Pseudomonadati; Pseudomonadota; Gammaproteobacteria; Enterobacterales; Enterobacteriaceae. The record is from RNAcentral.
CCUACGGGAGGCAGCAGUGGGGAAUAUUGCACAAUGGGCGCAAGCCUGAUGCAGCCAUGCCGCGUGUGUGAAGAAGGCCUUCGGGUUGUAAAGCACUUUCAGCGGGGAGGAAGGCGUUAAGGUUAAUAACCUUGUCGAUUGACGUUACCCGCAGAAGAAGCACCGGCUAACUCCGUGCCAGCAGCCGCGGUAAUACGGAGGGUGCAAGCGUUAAUCGGAAUUACUGGGCGUAAAGCGCACGCAGGCGGUCUGUCAAGUCGGAUGUGAAAUCCCCGGGCUCAACCUGGGAACUGCAUUCGAAACUGGCAGGCUAGAGUCUUGUAGAGGGGGGUAGAAUUCCAGGUGUAGCGGUGAAAUGCGUAGAGAUCUGGAGGAAUACCGGUGGCGAAGGCGGCCCCCUGGACAAAGACUGACGCUCAGGUGCGAAAGCGUGGGGAGCAAACAGGAUUAGAUACCCGUGUAGUC